UAUCUCUGUAGAGUCUGCAUAUCAAUAAGCGGAGGAAAAGAAACUAACUAGGAUUCCCUCAGUAACGGCGAGUGAAGCGGGAAGAGCUCAAAUUUGAAAUCUUCAAGGUUUUACCUUGACGAAUUGUAGUUUAAAGAAGUGUUUUCUGUUGGAGUUUUGGUAAAAGUUCUUUGGAAUAGGACAUCAUAGAGGGUGAGAAUCCCGUAUUUGACCAUUAUUUCAGCUUUGUGAUACACUUUCAAAGAGUCGGAUUGUUUGGGAAUGCAGUCCAAAAUGGGUGGUAAAUUUCAUCUAAAGCUAAAUAUUGGCGAGAGACCGAUAGCGAACAAGUACCGUGAGGGAAAGAUGAAAAGAACUUUGAAAAGAGAGUUAAACAGUACGUGAAAUUGUCAAAAGGGAAGCGUUUGACACCAGUGUUGUUUUCUCGAAAAUCAAUUAAAAAUGGCGGGAUUUUGUGUUGUAUUGACUUUAUCAGCUUUCUGCACUUUUUUCCUGUCUUUUUUAAUGCACUUUUCGUUUAACAAGUCAACAUCAAUUUCUUUUGUUGUAAAAGGGUCAUUGGAAGGUGGCUUUCUUUUCGGAGAAAGUGUUUAUAGCCUUUGGCCUCUGCAAUCGGAGAGAUUGAGGUCUGCAGCGUAGAUCCUUCGGGGUUAGAUACAUUUGUGCUAAGUUAUAGCCUUUCAUAGACAACUUGUUGACUAUGAUCAGUCAUGUAGCUUACUCGCUUAUGCUAUUUUACCUACGCUUAGGAUGUUGAGUCAUCACACAUCUCU
Molecule: ribosomal RNA, 773 nt
Filed under: uncultured Neocallimastigales
Lineage: Eukaryota; Fungi; Neocallimastigomycota; Neocallimastigomycetes; Neocallimastigales
Description: partial large subunit ribosomal RNA
Rfam family: Eukaryotic large subunit ribosomal RNA
Source: RNAcentral